CUUUGUUUGACGUGAUAUACGUGUGUUCUCAAUGUCAAUAUCGAAUCGAUUUUAUUAAGGUAGUGGACCGUGGCCUUUGGGGAAAUGUUUAGUAUUUGGUAGUGCAAACUCUGGCUAAUAUUCAAGACUUUGUACUAUGUACUCAUCGUUACCGUUUCUAAGUUUAGUGUAGCUACAUUGUUUCUAUAUUUUGCUGCCUCUAAAUUUACGUUGUGAAUUUACUCAAAACAAAAUAUGGCCGGUAUUUUGGUUACAUUUUAGGACUGAUAUUAACCGCUGACAAUUCAGUUGAGGUUUCGUGCUUAGGGGAAGGGAACCACGAAAUGCUAGUAAUAUUUCUUGAAUGUUUUCUUAUUGCAAUUCUGCUCGAUACUCUGAGAAGAGCUGCUCGCCUUUAGUCUCAAUUCGGCUUACAAACAGGGAAGUGGAGAAGGACAGUUCGAUUUUCAGGUAGCAGAGAUGCCGCAGCAACCAGGAUACGUAACACGAUGGAGGAAAAGGAAAUUAAGAAAUUAAAUCUGGAAAAUGAAAGUAGCAGAGAUGCCGCAGCAACCAGGAUACGUAACACGGUGGAGGAAAAUGGAGUAAACUAAAUCUGUAAACAAUAAACUAAAUCGAGAAACUCAAAAGGAACAAUCUGUAAACCGAAAAUAUUUUCAUUGCGAAUUAGAUGGUAUGGUGGAUGCACGAGUUGACAAAACUAUCACCUCCUGGCGAUUACCUACAUGACAUUCCCAUUGGAAAGAUUUGGAUAUGCUUCCAGACUUGUUUCAAGUAGUUGUGAAGACUGGAUGGAUUAUCCUGUUAUUGCAUUCUGAAUAAGUGCUGCUAAUAUAUGCAAGACUCUUGGAUGGAAAGAAGGUAAAAUGCAGACGUGUAAGAUAGUAUGAACUACCUUUUAUGUAAGGGAAGAAAUUGAAGGUUGGUAGUGUAAUUAAUGGAAUUGGUUGUUUAACUAAUGGAAAUAUUAGAACUAGUCAGGUGUAGAGAAAUCCUUCUGGCAAUGGCCAGCUGUAAAUUUAAACAGUUGCAGCGAGUUAGUGUAAAUUGAAAGUGCAUUGUCCUAUCUAUUUACAGUAGUUCAUGGAGCAAAGAUAUACCUUAAAUUUUGUGGGGGUUAGAUUAGUUGUACUAUAUGCUGCUUUAAUGUGAAGGUAAAUUUUGUUAGUGACUGUUCAACUAGAGUAUCUGAAAUUUUCACUAAAACGAACCAUAAUUCCUUGCUUUGGAGAAUAUUUAAUUACAAAGCUUAUUGCACACUAUUUGUUAACGCUUUCGUACUGACUGGCUUGAAACAUGUACAGUAGCUUCAUUGGCAGUCUGCAUUGUGCAUUGUAAAGCUACUAGAGGCAAUAACUUGAGGAUGGUUGGUUCUGACUUAAGUUUCCGAGUAAGCCAAAAAAGAUUUCCAGGAUCCAAAAGCUGCUAAAAUAAACUCUUGCAAGGCCAGCCUGUUCUUAAAAGAAUGGUGCCUAACAUGAUAUAUGUACUUGUAUAGUUGAACGUAUGCAGAUAAUUUUUUAAAAUUUUAUUAGUUUGAAAGGCUGAAGCUAUCUUGAAUUAGAAUAGUUAAAUCAUAAAAUCCAUUGAGAACUGUAAAAUUCAAACUGUUUUCAAACUCUGGUGAAUGUGCAGUAUUAAUUCUGAGGAUGCACAUCUAGGCAAACCCUGUUUUAAUAAAAAGAAAAUCAGAUUUAAUGUGUUUUUAAUAUACUAAUCAGAUUCAUCUUCUGAACAUGGCUUGCUGAAUGAAAUUACAGAAGAAAUGGUUUUGUUAGCUAGACUUGAUAGGUUUAUGCAUGUUUGAGUUGUAAAACUUUUUUUUUUUUUUUUACACUGAAAUUUUCAGUGUCAAAUAUAGGUGCCCUGAGUAAGGUUGAGGGUUAAACCCUACCCUUAUGGCAGAUUGGCAGUGCCCUAACACUGUAAGAGCAGAGGGCUGUUGAAUGUAUGAAUUUUGAGUGUUUACCUUGCAGAUGGACUUUGCGCAUAGCCUACUUUUAUAUGAAGUGGUUCACAAUUAUUGUGGGCAUUCAAAGACUUAAUGAGUUUUUUGCUUGACAUAGGCUGGAAAACAAAAGCAAAUGCCCAAUACAAAUUUUGGUAAAUUUCUUUACAUUAUUUUACCAGUUACCAAAUAAAACUCUUCUCUUGCAUACCUCAUUGAAAAGCUUGCAUGAUUAGCAUGUACUGCACAUGAAGUCAAACACACUUAUCAAAAUUUAAUUAGGUGACUUAAGCUUGCCUUGCAAAACUUGUAAAAAGGCUCCUAGGUGAUACUAUAUCAAGGAAACUUCUCUUGUAUUCUAGCUCAGCCUCAGUGUUCACUUAAAAAAGAUUUUAGACUGAGCUAGACAAAGCUAGAGCAACUGUGUGGGAAAAGACAGUGUUAAAAUAAUGUAAAACUUGUUUAAAAAGUUAUUGCAAAAUGUAGAAAAUUGGUACAGUUGAACCUCUAUUUGCAUACAUAAUCCGUUUCAGAACGUCUAACGAAGGCUAAAACGUACGAAAUCAGAAACAAUGAUUCCCAUGAGGAAUACAAAUUAAAUACUAGUACAAUUAAUGUAUGUAUCAUUAGGGUUUCAAGGAUUAAAGUUUGGUGGUAACUAGUUAAUGCAGUGAAAAAUAGCUCUAUGAAAACUUGCUCAACCUUUGUUUGGCAGUUUGUUGGUGGUAAAGAAUUACUCCUCAAUGAUUUGCGAAAUGUAAUACGCUUGCUCAUUACAUUUGCCAUGAGUUUGGGGUUUUGGGCUGUACCAUAUUUUCAGAAGAGAGCCAGAGCUGUAGAGCUAAGGAAUGAAAUUAGUCCAUUGUUACUGAAGGUGUAGUCAUUAACCAUGAUGUUUAUCUGGUGUCACUAAGAAGUCUGCCCGUUGAUUAGGUGAAGGCAGAAUAUUCUUUUCUGGAUGGCUGUCAUGGAAAUUCAGUAGUUAGUUAAGCUGGAGGAGUAAACAAAUAGCGAUUUAGACGUUUAAGCUGGAGGGUGGUACUAAACCUGGAGGGAGUAACAUGAAGAUUCAGAAGUUAAUUUCUUUAUCUGUUACCACUUCCAGCUUACCUUCUGAACCUCCAUAUGUUACCUCCCAUGGCUUCACUCCGUGCAGAUUAACUUUUUGAUCUUUGUUUUAGCUGGAGGGAUAAAUUAUGCCUCUGGCCGAGAUAUAUUAGAAAGGUAAACUAAGUUUACCUCAGCCAUUUUAGAUUUUUAUCUCUGGCUUUAAGCUGGAGGGAUAAAUUAUACAUCUGGCCAAGAUAUGUUAGUUUACCUUUAAGUUUACCUCUCAGCCAUUUUAGUUAAGCCCCUUUUAGUUUGAUUUGUUUUGAAUUAUAUACAAAAAUGAUACUGUAGCCAAAAGCAUAGUAUUGAGGGGUAUAUAUAAAAUGUAAUG
Molecule: long non-coding RNA, 3389 nt
Organism: Macrobrachium nipponense
Lineage: Eukaryota; Metazoa; Arthropoda; Malacostraca; Decapoda; Palaemonidae
Exons: 4
Source: RefSeq, a predicted model, not a curated record